RNAcentral lists this ribosomal RNA (479 nucleotides) under uncultured Flammeovirgaceae bacterium. Its description in RNAcentral is "bacterial SSU rRNA". It matches the Rfam family "Bacterial small subunit ribosomal RNA", at positions 28 to 505 of the family's 1533-position model. Lineage: Bacteria; Pseudomonadati; Bacteroidota; Cytophagia; Cytophagales; Flammeovirgaceae. The record is from RNAcentral.
GAUGAACGCUAGCGGCAGGCCUAAUACAUGCAAGUCGAGGGGCAGCACGAUCUUCGGAUUGGUGGCGACCGGCGCACGGGUGCGUAACGCGUAUGCAACCUACCCUAUACUGAGGGAUAGCCCGGAGAAAUUCGGAUUAAUACCUCAUGGUAUCAUUUGAAGGCAUCUGAAGAUGAUUAAAGAUUUAUCGGUAUAGGAUGGGCAUGCGUGACAUUAGUUAGUUGGUGAGGUAACGGCUCACCAAGGCGACGAUGUCUAGGGGUUCUGAGAGGAUGAUCCCCCACACUGGCACUGAGAUACGGGCCAGACUCCUACGGGAGGCAGCAGUAGGGAAUAUUGGUCAAUGGGCGAGAGCCUGAACCAGCCAUGCCGCGUGCAGGAAGACGGCCUUCUGGGUUGUAAACUGCUUUUAUCAGGGAACAAAAAGGCACUGCGGUGCAAAUUGCGUGUACCUGAAGAAUAAGCACCGGCUAACUCCG